UACGGAGGGAGCUAGCGUUGUUCGGAAUUACUGGGCGUAAAGCGCGCGUAGGCGGCUUUGUAAGUUAGAGGUGAAAGCCCGGAGCUCAACUCCGGAACUGCCUUUAAAACUGCAUCGCUUGAAUCCAGGAGAGGUGAGUGGAAUUCCGAGUGUAGAGGUGAAAUUCGUAGAUAUUCGGAAGAACACCAGUGGCGAAGGCGGCUCACUGGGCCGAUACUGACGCUGAGGAGCGAAAGCGUGGGGAGCGAACAGG
RNAcentral lists this ribosomal RNA (253 nucleotides) under uncultured bacterium. Its description in RNAcentral is "partial 16S ribosomal RNA". It matches the Rfam family "Bacterial small subunit ribosomal RNA", at positions 524 to 776 of the family's 1533-position model. The record is from RNAcentral.